GACAGUUUGGAUUAAGGUUGUUAAGGAUUCCAUUUACAAAACAAAACUUUCAAAAUGCUAGCAACCUAAUCCAUCCCCCCAAAUCAGCCCCUUUCUCUCUGAACCUUUUUCCUUUCUUUCCUGACAUCUUGUUACUCUGUCCUCUCCUAUUCUUCUCCCAUCACAUCUACUUCUUCCUUGCCUUUGCCCUUUGUUACUAUGAACGAACAUACUCUUUGAAAGGCCAGCCUGCAUUGUUUAUGUACAAAAACAUAACUUUUACCAGUUUUGUUGAGAGCCAGAUGAAGGAGAAGCAACUGUACAAACCAGAAGCAGUCCAGAAAAUGAAACUGGGAAAAUGUGGUCCACAUAACAUGAAUUAUUUCAUCUGUGUCUCUUCUCUACCCCCCUACCCCCACAGCUCAUCUGCUUGGCUGGCCUCCAGCAGAGUGUGGUAGCAGCAGGCAGGAGCCUGGCAGUGUGGGAGGAGACCUGACAGGAAACAGGGAAGAAUUUCCAGAGCAAUGGACCAUGAAUACAGCUCCUGUAUUCCACACAAGUGGUUAACGCCUGGCCCCCCAGGAGCACACUGCAGAAGCUGCCUGUUGUGGACUUACGGCUUUGCUUGGAGGGAGAGAGGACGGCAGACGCUGAUCUGCAUUGCUGCAGCUUUGGUUCACUUAGUCUGACCUUUUUCUCCUCCCCUGCUUUCUCUGCUUUUCUUAUAUUGUCCAAAGUACUCAGCAAACUGAGCGAUUUAUUCUCUAGCUGG
Molecule: long non-coding RNA, 751 nt
Filed under: Heterocephalus glaber (naked mole-rat)
Lineage: Eukaryota; Metazoa; Chordata; Mammalia; Rodentia; Bathyergidae
Description: lncRNA (ENSHGLG00000043570.1)
Source: RNAcentral